Non-coding RNA from Phoenix dactylifera (date palm), 436 nucleotides. The record is from RefSeq and is a predicted model, not a curated record. NCBI's taxonomy places the organism in Eukaryota, Viridiplantae, Streptophyta, Magnoliopsida, Arecales, Arecaceae.
CGGGCCGGCCCGAAAAGACCGGGCCCAUCCACCAUAUACGAUCGUGCCUAGGGCACGAUCGUGGUAGAGAGGAGAACGGGAGAGAGGGCGGCGGCGUUAGAGGAGAUCGCCGGAGAGACGAGCGUCGGAGGGAGGAACCGGCCGGCCGCGGAGGAAGCCAGAAGCUUUUCCCUCCCUCGGUGAAGAUCCCCCACAAAUCGGGAGAAGUCUCGGAUCCGUGCGUGAAAACCCAAGACCCCUCCUCCGAUUCCUCGCCGGAAAGUCGCCGGAACACCCUCAUCGGGCCGAGGGGAAGAGUCAGCGGUGCCAGGAGGUUUUGAUCAGGGGACUCAGCACCCCAGCUCGUAGGUUGUGAUCCAGAUCUGUAUUUGAGUCUGUCUACAAUUUCUAGUUACAUGAUGCAUUGAUUUGGACAGGAUGGGCGCAGAGUGCGAGU